UUUUAUGAUGCUGCUUCGUGGGGAGGGUAAGUGGAUCCCUUUCGUUUGUCCAUUUAUCCUCUUUGGACAAUCCUGACCCUAAUCCUCUUGCUUCCUCUUUUUCUCAACUAGUCUCCAUGCGGAAGGGAGUCUUUACAACCCUAGAUCAGGAAGGGGGAAGAGCUGCUGCCAUUGAGAUCAAGAGGGUUCAUGACCUAAAUUUGGAGAUUGCCAACUCCACUCUCUUGAAGGACUUUCCCUUGUCCUGUUUGACUUUGAAGAUGAACUUUAAGGCUAUUGCCUCUAAGUCAAGUUUAAGAUGAG
RNAcentral lists this long non-coding RNA (303 nucleotides) under Musa acuminata (dwarf banana). Its description in RNAcentral is "long non-coding RNA (MACU_LNC003302)". Lineage: Eukaryota; Viridiplantae; Streptophyta; Magnoliopsida; Zingiberales; Musaceae. The record is from RNAcentral.